Molecule: ribosomal RNA, 374 nt
Filed under: Nematoda sp.
Lineage: Eukaryota; Metazoa; Nematoda
Description: SSU rRNA
Rfam family: Eukaryotic small subunit ribosomal RNA
Source: RNAcentral
CUGAAUAACUACGCUGAUCGCACAGUCUAGUACUGGCGACAUAUCCUUCAAGUGUCUGCCUUAUCAACUGUCGAUGGUAGUUUAUAUGACUACCAUGGUUGUAACGGGUAACGGAGAAUAAGGGUUCGACUCCGGAGAGGGAGCCUGAGAAACGGCUACCACAUCCAAGGAAGGCAGCAGGCGCGCAAAUUACCCACUCUCAGAACGAGGAGGUAGUGACGAAAAAUAACGAGACAGUUCUCUAUGAGGUCUGUCAUCGGAAUGGGUACAAUUUAAACCCUUUAACGAGGAUCUAUUGGAGGGCAAGUCUGGUGCCAGCAGCCGCGGUAAUUCCAGCUCCAAUAGCGUAUAUUAAUGUUGCUGCGGUUAAAAAG